CCUACGGGUGGCAGCAGUAGGGAAUUUUCGUCAAUGGGCGCAAGCCUGAACGAGCAAUGCCGCGUGAACGAGGAAGGUCUUCGGAUCGUAAAGUUCUGUUGAAGGGGAAAAAGAGCGGAGAGAGGAAAUACUUUCUGAUUGCUAUUACCCUUCGAGGAAGUCACGGCUAACUACGUGCCAGCAGCCGCUGUAAUACGUAGGUGGCGAGCGUUAUCCGGAAGGGUUGGGCGUAAAGGGUGCGUAGGCGGCCUGCUAAGUCUGGAGGGAAAGGUAACGGCUCAACCGGUACAGGCUAUGGAAACUGGGGGGCUAGAGGGCAGGAGAGGGCGGUGGAAAUGCGUGGGGAGCGGUAAAAUGCGU
This 360-nucleotide ribosomal RNA is filed under the name uncultured bacterium. RNAcentral describes it as "partial 16S ribosomal RNA". It matches the Rfam family "Bacterial small subunit ribosomal RNA", at positions 338 to 691 of the family's 1533-position model. The record is from RNAcentral.